CCUACGUGAGGCAGCAGUGAGGAAUAUUGGUCAAUGGGCGCGAGCCCGAACCAGCCAAGUCGCGUGAGGGAAGACGGUCCUAUGGAUUGUAAACCUCUUUUGUCGGGGAGCAAAAGACGCCACGCGUGGCGUUCCGAGAGUACCCGAAGAAAAAGCAUCGGCUAACUCCGUGCCAGCAGCCGCGGUAAUACGGAGGAUGCGAGCGUUAUCCGGAUUUAUUGGGUUUAAAUGGGGCGCAGGCGGAAGGUCAAGUCAGCGGUAAAAGUGAGAGGCUCAACCUCUUCGAGCCGUUGAAACUGGUGUGCUUGAGUGAGUGAGAAGUAUGCGGAAUGCGUGGUGUAGCGGUGAAAUGCAUAGAUAUCACGCAGAACUCCGAUUGCGAAGGCAGCAUACCGGCGCUCAACUGACGCUCAUGCACGAAAGUGUGGGUAUCGAACAGGAUUAGAUACCCGGGUAGUC
This 459-nucleotide ribosomal RNA is filed under the name uncultured bacterium. RNAcentral describes it as "partial 16S ribosomal RNA". It matches the Rfam family "Bacterial small subunit ribosomal RNA", at positions 338 to 795 of the family's 1533-position model. The record is from RNAcentral.